UAGGAGUCAUGACGUAGCUUG
This 21-nucleotide microRNA is filed under the name Amborella trichopoda. RNAcentral's name for it is "atr-miR8582". The record is from miRBase by way of RNAcentral. Lineage: Eukaryota; Viridiplantae; Streptophyta; Magnoliopsida; Amborellales; Amborellaceae.